RNAcentral lists this ribosomal RNA (429 nucleotides) under Actinomycetes bacterium. Its description in RNAcentral is "Actinobacteria bacterium partial 16S ribosomal RNA". It matches the Rfam family "Bacterial small subunit ribosomal RNA", at positions 355 to 776 of the family's 1533-position model. The record is from RNAcentral. Lineage: Bacteria; Bacillati; Actinomycetota; Actinomycetes.
UAGGGAAUCUUCCGCAAUGGGCUAAAGCCUGACGGAGCAACGCCGCGUGAGUGAUGAAGGUCUUCGGAUCGUAAAACUCUGUUAUUAGGGAAGAACAAAUGUGUAAGUAACUAUGCACGUCUUGACGGUACCUAAUCAGAAAGCCACGGCUAACUACGUGCCAGCAGCCGCGGUAAUACGUAGGUGGCAAGCGUUAUCCGGAAUUAUUGGGCGUAAAGCGCGCGUAGGCGGUUUUUUAAGUCUGAUGUGAAAGCCCACGGCUCAACCGUGGAGGGUCAUUGGAAACUGGAAAACUUGAGUGCAGAAGAGGAAAGUGGAGUUCCAUGUGUAGCGGUGAAAUGCGCAGAGAUAUGGGGGAACACCAGUGGCGAAGGCGACUUGCUGGUCUGUAACUGACGCUGAUGUGCGAAAGCGUGGGGAUCAAACAGG